This 407-nucleotide ribosomal RNA is filed under the name uncultured bacterium. RNAcentral's name for it is "partial 16S ribosomal RNA". It matches the Rfam family "Bacterial small subunit ribosomal RNA", at positions 28 to 526 of the family's 1533-position model. The record is from RNAcentral.
GACGAACGCUGGCGGCGUGCCUAAUACAUGCAAGUAGGACGCAGUUGCGAACGUGUGAGUAACGCGUAGGCCCCUACCUAUUAGAGGGGGAUAACUAUUGGAAACGAUAGCUAAUACCGCAUACUCGUAGAUUGACCUGCGUUGUAUUAGCUAGUAGGUAGGGUAAUGGCCUACCUAGGCAACGAUCCGUAACUGGUCUGAGAGGAUGAUCAGUCACACUGGAACUGAGACACGGUCCAGACUCCUACGGGAGGCAGCAGUGGGGAAUAUUGGACAAUGGGCGAAAGCCUGAUCCAGCCAUGCCGCGUGUGUGAAGAAGGUCUUCGGAUUGUAAAGCACUUUAAGUUGGGAGGCGUUACCAACAGAAGAAGCACCGGCUAACUCCGUGCCAGCAGCCGCGGUAAUAC